AAUAUUUGUAAAUAACUAAAUAAUAGUAUAAUACUAAUCUGGGAUCAAAGUAUAAGAAUGCUAUGUGGUAACACAUUUUUUAGUUUGAUUUAGCCUUUCCAUUCUUAUUUCCUUUAUUGCCAACUGUGUUAAAUAUUCCGGGUUUAGUAUAAACAGGGAAAGGAUUAGCUCACUUUUGAGUUGUCAUGAGGGGGACUGAGUAUUAUUGUUGUAUGCAACAAUCAUGUAUAAUAUGCUUCUUUGAUCUGAAAUUAAGCUACUUGCCCUGUUCUUUGUCCAAUUUACCAAAAAACCCACCAGAAUCAUGACAAAACUGAAUGCCGCAUACAAAUGUGGGACCUGUGUUAUGGCUGGAUUACACCUGGGUAAUCUGUAUGUUACUCACUUACUCCCACUGUGUGGCACUUGAUCAAGAGAUAUAAGCAAUAAGUUUAUAAUGGAUCUUUACUUUUUCGAUAUGCCCUUGUAAGAUGAGUUGGACAAUUGAUGACGAAUAUUUUGGAAUAGAUGCAAAGUUACUCAACUUCUGAACCAGGGUAUACUUACAGUCAGGUAUGAUUUUCUUAUAUGUGUUCAUGUUUUUAAGUUGUUUAGAAUAUGAUUGAUUUCAUGACUUAGGUUCCUAUCUAUCCAUGGGCCCGUGGCUAUUCUGGUCAUGCAUGACGUGCUGAACAUAUUCCAUUCGUGUUGGGAUUGUCCAAGGAACACUGGAUUUGUCCAAUAUGAGGAGAAGACAGAGAGCCACCUGUCAUGAUUUGUUUGAGAGGGCAGUGACAAUAGGGCUUUGCGGUGAAUGUCAGAUGAGAUGGAAGGGAAGGGCAGGUGAACAGAGAGGAGAGUGGUGGAAGCCGUAUGAUGGCUGGAGGGAAUAUUGGUCAAAAGGAUUAACACUCUGAUAUAGUCUGAUACCAUGCAGCAUCACUUGUCAUGUACUUGAUCUCUUUAUUUUGGAAGGGGGAAGAGCUCAAAACAAAAAGCAAAAGAUACUAAGCUUCCAAGUGCACAAAAGAAUAUAGCUACCCUUGAUCUCAUUGAUUUAUCAUAUCAUUUCGUUGUUACUUGUCUAUAAGUAGCACAAUUAGUCAUCUAACAUUAAAUCAACACGAGACACCCACAAAAUCCACAAUUACAAUGUGGGUAUAAGGAGUGUAUCAAAUUCACCCAGAAACAUUGUAUAUCCAACAUACUACAAAAGAUGCUUUCUCUCUAUGCUCAUCUAGAUUGUGCAACAUCUAGAUAAAAGACAUCAUGACUAUCUUAUCAUCUGCCGAUAUCCUCCAUUUUCCAUUCCCUGAUGAAAGGUAUAGCAUGCCAAAACAUUUGUUUCCCAAAGAAAUUACAUAAGGAAUUUUGAAAACGGACAAGGGGAGCUUAAUACACGAUUGGUUGACUGCCAUUGACACCCUCUUAUUCUUGUAGGUGAAAAAUACAACAAUUUGAACAUGUCAACCACCUCACUAGUUAAUUUGUUAUCUUUACAUAAUCCAAUGAAAAUAAUUGAACUUCUAUGGAAUGGAUGGAUGAGACCAAUCACAUAAGCUGCCAUUUUACAAGUGUGUGAAUGAUGAUCAACAAUGCAUCUUUGUCAUCUAUGAGUCGUGUGCCAGACUGGCAGCUGAAGAGUAAAACCAUCCAGAUCACCCAGAACACAUACUCGCACUCUAUACAAAUAUCACUGCUCAACAUAUUAUUGCAUUUGAAUGUGUUGUUUGCAUGUUACCUUGCAAUGGAUUUGUCCAGGUUGUGUCCAAUGUCAUUACCAUGUUUUCAUACAUGAAAACCGUACACUCGAAGUCAAUAUUCAUUGGAAGGUAACUUGCAAACACCACAUUCAAAAUGCAAAGAUAUGUUUUGCAUUUCAACUGGCAGUCUGGCGCACCACUCAUGGUGAACAAAGUUGCAGUGUACAUGUUGAUCAUCAUUGACACAUUUGUUAAACGACACUUCUGUGAUUGGUCUCACAUCCAUUGCAUACAUAUAUAGAAGUUCAAUCCUUUUCAUUAAAUUAUGUAAUGAUAAUACAAAUUAAUUAGUGAGGUGUGGUUUCAUAUCAAGUGUUUAGAGUGCUAGUUUGGAAUCCAUUAUGCCUCUGCCUAUUUGAGCAAAUGGUGAAAAAUGUGAACUUCAUUUUUCUGUUCAUUGGAAUCGAGUUAAGAGGAUGUGAUGUUCGUACUUAUAAUUUUUGUAUAAAUUUGUAACUAACAAACAUUUCAUCAUGUAUCGCUUUGAUAUAUAAUCUUUCUUAUAUUGUAUGGUA
Long non-coding RNA from Erigeron canadensis, 2257 nucleotides. RefSeq lists it as uncharacterized. The record is from RefSeq and is a predicted model, not a curated record. The transcript has 4 exons. NCBI's taxonomy places the organism in Eukaryota, Viridiplantae, Streptophyta, Magnoliopsida, Asterales, Asteraceae.